CCUACGGGAGACAGCAGUGGGGAAUAUUGGGCAAUGGGCGCAAGCCUGACCCAGCAACGCCGCGUGAAGGAAGAAGGCUCUCGGGUUGUAAACUUCUUUUAUCAGGGACGAAGCAAGUGACGGUACCUGAUGAAUAAGCCACGGCUAACUAUGUGCCAGCAGCCGCGGUAAUACGUAGGUGGCAAGCGUUCUCCGGAUUUACUGGGUGUAAAGGGCGUGUAGGCGGGACAGCAAGUCAGAUGUGAAAACCAUGGGCUCAACCUGUGGCCUGCAUUUGAAACUGUUUUUCGUGAGUACUGGAGAGGCAGACGGAAUUCCUAGUGUAGCGGUGAAAUGCGUAGAUAUUAGGAGGAACACCAGUGGCGAAGGCGGCUUACUGGACUGUAAAUGACGCUGAGGCUCGAAAGCGUGGGGAGCAAACAGGAUUAGAUACCCUAGUAGUC
RNAcentral lists this ribosomal RNA (443 nucleotides) under uncultured bacterium. Its description in RNAcentral is "partial 16S ribosomal RNA". It matches the Rfam family "Bacterial small subunit ribosomal RNA", at positions 338 to 795 of the family's 1533-position model. The record is from RNAcentral.